AUUGAACGCUGGCGGCAUGCCUUACACAUGCAAGUCGAACGGCAGCACGGGAGCAAUCCUGGUGGCGAGUGGCGAACGGGUGAGUAAUAUAUCGGAACGUGCCCAGUCGUGGGGGAUAACGUAGCGAAAGCUACGCUAAUACCGCAUACGAUCUAUGGAUGAAAGCGGGGGAUCGCAAGACCUCGCGCGAUUGGAGCGGCCGAUAUCAGAUUAGGUAGUUGGUGAGGUAAAGGCUCACCAAGCCGACGAUCUGUAGCUGGUCUGAGAGGACGACCAGCCACACUGGGACUGAGACACGGCCCAGACUCCUACGGGAGGCAGCAGUGGGGGAAUUUUUGGACAAUGGGCGCAAGCCUGAUCCAGCAAUGCCGCGUGCAGGAUGAAGGCCUUCGGUU
RNAcentral lists this ribosomal RNA (395 nucleotides) under uncultured bacterium. RNAcentral's name for it is "bacterial SSU rRNA". It matches the Rfam family "Bacterial small subunit ribosomal RNA", at positions 30 to 423 of the family's 1533-position model. The record is from RNAcentral.